GCAAUGGCACCCCACUCCAGUACUCUUGCCUAGAAAAUCCCAUGGAUGGAGGAGCCUGGUGGGCUGCGGUCCAUGGGGUCGAUAAGAGUCGGACACGACUGAGCGACUUCACUUUCACUUUCCACUUUCAUGCAUUGGAGGAGGAAAUGGCAACCCACUCCAGUAUUCUUACCUGGAGAAUCCCAGGGACGGGGGAGCCUGGUGGGCUGCCGUCUACGGGGUCGCACAGAGUCGGACACGACUGAAGCGACUUAGCAGCAGCAGCAGCAGCAGGGAGUGGAUGGGAGAGACGUUCUUGGAUUUCACCAUUCUCACUACUGUUCUGACUCCCUACAAGCAAACCCUUAUAUGCGUUUUGAGUGGAAGUAUGCUGCAAAUAAGGACGGUGUGGACCAGAAAUCCGAUCGCUAAAAGAGGUAGCUACUUACAGUGAGUCUCUCCCUACGGGAAAGAAAACAUGAGCUGCUAAAAUCCGAAGUGUACCUAAAGCCUACCUGCUCCACCUGUGGCCCCCUACUCCCUACCGCAAAUACACAGACUGUCACCAGAGACUUAAGAGCUUUAAUGUAGUUGAAGGUGAAUGGAGGGGAGCUUUUCUCACCGAGAAAAGGCACUUUUUCUGCCACUGUCUGAACUGCCUACUCUCCUUCCUCCAAAGCCAUAGACCUUUUCAACUAAGCUAAUCACUCGCAGACAGUUCCCUUGAAAAUACCAACUUGAGAGCAGUUUACCCAAACUAGGUAUUGGAAAAAUACACAGCAUUUUGUACUUAGUUGGUUGGGACCUAAGUGAUAAUGUCAUUUGUUCAAUAAAUAUUUGAUUACUGUUCAAAGAUUGUUAGGUGAUGAGGACAUAAAAUCCUUGUAGAAGUUUCCAGUCUAGCAGCAGCCAGAUGGUUAAACCAAUAAUUGGCAUACAGAAAGAGUACUUUAGUAAAUAAUAUGAAUAAUCCUCUCGUUUUGCUUACUUUCAAUAUAACCCUUCCCAUGAGACCCCAAAACUGUAAGAUUGAAGGUGCCAGCCUACCAACACCCCCAGGUACCUGCUGAGCUGGACCAUGCCCAACUACUAUGUGGGUUUUGUCCCUAGGGAGGAUGUCUACCCUCUCCUGACAUUCAGGUUCUUUCCUUGCUGCUCUGCUGCCAGCAGUAGUGGAAACUCAAGCUCAAAUAUUUGGUUCUAAAUCCCAGCUGCUCCCUCCAACACUUGAGUCUUCAUCAGGCCCUGAGCUCAUUUUUUUGUUAAGUCCUCUAUACCAAAGGAGGAGAAGAGGACAACAGAGGAUGAGAUGGUUGGAUGGCAUCACUGACUCAAUAGACAUGAGUUUGAGCAAGCACCAGGAGAUGGUGCAGGACAUAGAAACCUGGCCUGCUGUAGUCCAUGGGGUCGCAAAGAGUUGGACAGGACUGAGUAACUGAACAGCAACAAAUCAAAAGUUACUAUGGACUAGUUUAUACCUUCUAGAAUUUUCAGUGGUUUCAGGGGAAGGAGAAUAGGAAAGAUUUAAAAAAGAGAGAGAGAUGGGGAAAGUCUUUGGAAGUAAUGGGUAUGUUCAUCAUCUUGGUGUGAUGGUUUUAUGGGUGUAUGUGCUGUGCUUAGUCACUCAGUUUUGUCUGACCCUUUACGACCCCAUGGAGUAUAGCCCACCAGGCUCCUCUGUCUAUGGGGAUUCUCUAGGCAAGAAUGCUGGAGUGGGUUGCCAUGCCCUCCAGGGGAUCUUCCCAACCCAGGGAUCAAACCCAGGUCUCCCAAAUUGCAGGUAGAUUCUUUACUGUCUGAGCCACC
Bos taurus (domestic cattle) is the source of this 1785-nucleotide long non-coding RNA. The record is from Ensembl. Lineage: Eukaryota; Metazoa; Chordata; Mammalia; Artiodactyla; Bovidae.